This 510-nucleotide ribosomal RNA is filed under the name uncultured bacterium. Its description in RNAcentral is "partial 16S ribosomal RNA". It matches the Rfam family "Bacterial small subunit ribosomal RNA", at positions 28 to 507 of the family's 1533-position model. The record is from RNAcentral.
GACGAACGCUGGCGGCGUGCUUAACACAUGCAAGUCGAACGAAGAGCGAUGGAAGCUUGCUUCUAUCAAUCUUAGUGGCGAACGGGUGAGUAACGCGUAAUCAACCUGCCCUUCAGAGGGGGACAACAGUUGGAAACGACUGCUAAUACCGCAUACGAUCUAAUCUCGGCAUCGAGGAUAGAUGAAAGGUGGCCUCUACAUGUAAGCUAUCACUGAAGGAGGGGAUUGCGUCUGAUUAGCUAGUUGGAGGGGUAACGGCCCACCAAGGCGAUGAUCAGUAGCCGGUCUGAGAGGAUGAACGGCCACAUUGGGACUGAGACACGGCCCAGACUCCUACGGGAGGCAGCAGUGGGGAAUCUUCCGCAAUGGACGAAAGUCUGACGGAGCAACGCCGCGUGAGUGGUGACGGCCUUCGGGUUGUAAAGCUCUGUUAAUCGGGACGAAAGGCCUUCUUGCGAAUAGGGAGAAGGAUUGACGGUACCGGAAUAGAAAGCCACGGCUAACUACGUG